GAUGAAGAACGUAGCGAAAUGCGAUACGUAAUGUGAAUUGCAGAAUUCAGUGAAUCAUCGAGUCUUUGAACGCACAUUGCGCCCUCUGGUAUUCCGGAGGGCAUGCCUGUCCGAGCGUCAUUGCUGCCCUCAGGCACGGCUUGUGUGUUGGGCUCCGUCCCCCGAUCCCGGGGGACGGGCCCGAAAGGCAGCGGCGGCACCGCGUCCGGUCCUCGAGCGUAUGGGGCUUUGUCACCCGCUCUGUAGGCCCGGCCGGCGCUUGCCGAUCAACCAAAUUUUUAUCCAGGUUGACCUCGGAUCAGGUAGGGAUACCCGCUGAACUUAAGCAUAUCAAUAAGCGGAGGA
This 345-nucleotide unclassified non-coding RNA is filed under the name soil metagenome. RNAcentral's name for it is "partial contains 5.8S ribosomal RNA, internal transcribed spacer 2, and large subunit ribosomal RNA". The stretch from base 1 to 120 matches the Rfam family "5.8S ribosomal RNA", at positions 35 to 154 of the family's 154-position model. The record is from RNAcentral.